GAAUUCGCCCUUAGAGUUUGAUCCUGGCUCAGGACGAACGCUGGCGGCGCGCCUAACACAUGCAAGUCGAACGAGAGAGAGGAAGCUUGCUUCCUCAAUCGAGUGGCGAACGGGUGAGUAACGCGUGAGGAACCUGCCUCAAAGAGGGGGACAACAGUUGGAAACGACUGCUAAUACCGCAUAAGCCCACAGCUCGGCAUCGAGCAGAGGGAAAAGGAGCAAUCCGCUUUGAGAUGGCCUCGCGUCCGAUUAGCUAGUUGGUGAGGUAACGGCCCACCAAGGCGACGAUCGGUAGCCGGACUGAGAGGUUGAACGGCCACAUUGGGACUGAGACACGGCCCAGACUCCUACGGGAGGCAGCAGUGGGGAAUAUUGCACAAUGGGGGAAACCCUGAUGCAGCGACGCCGCGUGGAGGAAGAAGGUCUUCGGAUUGUAAACUCCUGUUGUUGAGGAAGAUAAUGACGGUACUCAACAAGGAAGUGACGGCUAACUACGUGCCAGCAGCCGCGGUAAAACGUAGGUCACAAGCGUUGUCCGGAAUUACUGGGUGUAAAGGGAGCGCAGGCGGGAGAACAAGUUGGAAGUGAAAUCCAUGGGCUCAACCCAUGAACUGCUUUCAAAACUGUUUUUCUUGAGUAGUGCAGAGGUAGGCGGAAUUCCCGGUGUAGCGGUGGAAUGCGUAGAUAUCGGGAGGAACACCAGUGGCGAAGGCGGCCUACUGGGCACCAACUGACGCUGAGGCUCGAAAGUGUGGGUAGCAAACAGGAUUAGAUACCCUGGUAGUCCACACCGUAAACGAUGAUUACUAGGUGUUGGAGGAAUUGACCCCUUCAGUGCCGCAGUUUAACACAAUAAGUAAUCCACUGGGGGAGUACGACCGCAAGGUUGAAACUCAAAGGAAUUGACGGGGGCCCGCACAAGCAGUGGAGUAUGUGGUUUAAUUCGACGCAACGCGAAGAACCUUACCAAGUCUUGACAUCCCUUGACGAUGCUGGAAACAGUAUUUCUCUUCGGAGCAAGGAGACAGGUGGUGCAUGGUUGUCGUCAGCUCGUGUCGUGAGAUGUUGGGUUAAGUCCCGCAACGAGCGCAACCCUUAUGGUCAGUUACUACGCAAGAGGACUCUGGCCAGACUGCCGUUGACAAAACGGAGGAAGGUGGGGAUGACGUCAAAUCAUCAUGCCCUUUAUGACUUGGGCUACACACGUACUACAAUGGCGUUAAACAAAGAGAAGCAAGACCGCGAGGUGGAGCAAAACUCAGAAACAACGUCCCAGUUCGGACUGCAGGCUGCAACUCGCCUGCACGAAGUCGGAAUUGCUAGUAAUCGUGGAUCAGCAUGCCACGGUGAAUACGUUCCCGGGCCUUGCACACACCGCCCGUCA
Molecule: ribosomal RNA, 1384 nt
Filed under: uncultured bacterium
Lineage: Bacteria
Description: bacterial SSU rRNA
Rfam family: Bacterial small subunit ribosomal RNA
Source: RNAcentral